AUAUCUUUCUCGACCUUUUGGCUAAGAUCAAGUGUAGUAUCUGUUCUUAUCAGUUUAAUACCUGAUAUGUGGACCAAUGGUCCACACGAUAUUAAAUUUAUUUCUUGAGGGAAAGAGGCCACCACAAUAGCUUGCCAUUGGGCCUCUUGCGUGUCGCUCUUGCGUUACACUAUAGCAAUUGCUGACGCACCCCAU
Small nuclear RNA from Vicia villosa (hairy vetch), 195 nucleotides. RefSeq annotates it as U2 spliceosomal RNA. The record is from RefSeq and is a predicted model, not a curated record. Lineage: Eukaryota; Viridiplantae; Streptophyta; Magnoliopsida; Fabales; Fabaceae. The transcript has a single exon.